Molecule: ribosomal RNA, 90 nt
Filed under: Streptococcus gallolyticus
Lineage: Bacteria; Bacillati; Bacillota; Bacilli; Lactobacillales; Streptococcaceae
Description: 16S rRNA. Bacterial SSU
Rfam family: Bacterial small subunit ribosomal RNA
Source: RNAcentral
AUUAAAUGAGAGUUUGAUCCUGGCUCAGGACGAACGCUGGCGGCGUGCCUAAUACAUGCAAGUAGAACGCUGAAGACUUUAGCUUGCUAG